RNAcentral lists this ribosomal RNA (775 nucleotides) under uncultured Neocallimastigales. Its description in RNAcentral is "partial large subunit ribosomal RNA". It matches the Rfam family "Eukaryotic large subunit ribosomal RNA", at positions 20 to 616 of the family's 3401-position model. The record is from RNAcentral. Lineage: Eukaryota; Fungi; Neocallimastigomycota; Neocallimastigomycetes; Neocallimastigales.
UACUAGAGUAGCACUCGCAUAUCAAUAAGCGGAGGAAAAGAAACUAACAAGGAUUCCCCUAGUAACGGCGUAGUGAAGCGGGAAGAGCUCAAAUUUGAAAUCUUAAAGGGUUUCCCUUUACGAAUUGUAGUUUAAAGAAGUGUUUUCUGUUGAGGUUUUGGUAAAAGUUCUUUGGAAUAGGACAUCAUAGAGGGUGAGAAUCCCGUAUUUGACCUUUACUUUCAACUUUGUGAUACACUUUCAAAGAGUCGGAUUGUUUGGGAAUGCAGUCCAAAAUGGGUGGUAAAUUUCAUCUAAAGCUAAAUAUUGGCGAGAGACCGAUAGCGAACAAGUACCGUGAGGGAAAGAUGAAAAGAACUUUGAAAAGAGAGUUAAACAGUACGUGAAAUUGUCAAAAGGGAAGCGUUUGACACCAGUGUUGUUUUUCUGAAAAUCAAUUAAAGAACUGUUUAUGCUAAGCUGUUUAGACUUUAUCAGCUAUCUGUUUAGUUUUGAGCUUUUCUUUAAUGCACUUUUCAGUUAACAAGUCAACAUCAAUUUCUUUUGCUGUAAAAAAGCUUGAGGAAGGUGGCUUGAGAUUCGUCUUAAGUGUUUAUAGCCUCUUGCCUAUGCAGUCGGAGAGAUUGAGGUCUGCAGCGUAGAUCCUUCGGGGCUAAAUGCAUUUGUGCUAAGUUAUAGCAUUUUAUAGACAACUUGUUGACUAUGAUUUGUCUUGUAGCUUACUCGCUUAUGUUAUUUUACCUACGCUUAGGAUGUUGAGCGCAUGUCUCUCUCU